Molecule: ribosomal RNA, 510 nt
Filed under: uncultured bacterium
Lineage: Bacteria
Description: bacterial SSU rRNA
Rfam family: Bacterial small subunit ribosomal RNA
Source: RNAcentral
AUGGCUCAGAACGAACGCUGGCGGCGCGUUUAAGCAUGCAAGUCGAGCGGUAAGCCGGAGCAAUCCGGCCUAGAGCGGCGGACGGGUGAGUAACACGUGGAUAAUCUGGCCUACAGUUGGGAUAGCCUGGUGAAAGCCAGGAUAAUACCGGAUACGACGGUUUGGUCACAAGACCGAAUCGGGAAAGGGGCUAAGGCCUCGCUGAAGGAUGAGUCCGCGUCCCAUUAGCUAGAUGGUGAGGUAAAGGCCCACCAUGGCGAUGAUGGGUAGCCGGCCUAAGAGGGUGAACGGCCACAUUGGGACUGAGAUACGGCCCAGACUCCUACGGGAGGCAGCAGCUAAGAAUCUUCCGCAAUGGUCGAAAGACUGACGGAGCGACGCCGCGUGAAUGAUGAAGGCCCGUGAGGUUGUAAAGUUCUUUUCUGGAGGGAGAAUAAGUGAUGUAGGGAAUGACAUCAUGAUGACGUGAAUCCAGGAAUAAGCCCCGGCUAACUACGUGCCAGCCGCUGC